This 427-nucleotide ribosomal RNA is filed under the name uncultured bacterium. RNAcentral's name for it is "bacterial SSU rRNA". It matches the Rfam family "Bacterial small subunit ribosomal RNA", at positions 355 to 774 of the family's 1533-position model. The record is from RNAcentral.
UAGGGAAUCUUCCGCAAUGGACGAAAGUCUGACGGAGCAACGCCGCGUGAGUGAAGAAGGUUUUCGGAUCGUAAAACUCUGUUGUUAGAGAAGAACAAGUAGGAGAGUAACUGCUCCUACCUUGACGGUAUCUAACCAGAAAGCCACGGCUAACUACGUGCCAGCAGCCGCGGUAAUACGUAGGUGGCAAGCGUUGUCCGGAUUUAUUGGGCGUAAAGCGAGCGCAGGCGGUUUCUUAAGUCUGAUGUGAAAGCCCCCAGCUUAACUGGGGAGGGUCAUUGGAAACUGGGAGACUUGAGUGCAGAAGAGGAGAGUGGAAUUCCAUGUGUAGCGGUGAAAUGCGUAGAUAUAUGGAGGAACACCAGUGGCGAAGGCGACUCUCUGGUCUGUAACUGACGCUGAGGCUCGAAAGCGUGGGGAGCAAACA